UUAUCCGGUUGAUCCUGCCGGACCUGACUGCUAUCGGAUUGAUACUAAGCCAUGCGAGUCUUUGUAGUAAUACAAGGCAGACGGCUCAGUAACGCGUAGUCAACCUACCCUAUGGACGGGAAUAAUCUCGGGAAACUGAGCAUAAUACCCGGCGUACCACCAUUCCUGGAAUGGUUGGUGGUUAAAAUGAUUCGUCGCCGUAGGAUGGGACUGCGACCUAUCAGCUUGUUGGUGAGGUAAAGGCCCACCAAGGCGAUUACAGGUACGGGCUCUGAGAGGAGAAGCCCGGAGAUGGGUACUGAGACACGGACCCAGGCCCUAUGGGGCGCAGC
Molecule: ribosomal RNA, 332 nt
Filed under: Nitrososphaerota archaeon
Lineage: Archaea; Thermoproteati; Nitrososphaerota
Description: bacterial SSU rRNA
Rfam family: Archaeal small subunit ribosomal RNA
Source: RNAcentral